Molecule: ribosomal RNA, 440 nt
Filed under: uncultured bacterium
Lineage: Bacteria
Description: partial 16S ribosomal RNA
Rfam family: Bacterial small subunit ribosomal RNA
Source: RNAcentral
CCUACGGGAGGCAGCAGUGAGGAAUAUUGGGCAAUGGGGGCAACCCUGACCCAGCCAUGCCGCGUGAGUGCAGAAUGUCUUAGGAGUGUAAAGCUCUUUCGGACGUGACGAUGAUGACGGUAGCGUCUAAAGAAUCUACGUCAAACUUCGUGCCAGCAGCCGCGGUAAUACGAAGGGUGCGAGCGUUGUUCGGAAUGACUGGGCGUUAAGGGAGUGUAGGCGGAUAUGUAAGAUAGUGGUGAAAUGCCGGGGCUCAACCCCGGAAUUGCCGUUAUGACCUUGUAUCUAGAGUAAUGGAGAGGAUAGCGGAAUACCCAGUGUAGAGGUGAAAUUCGUAGAUGUUGGGUAGAACACCGGUGGCGAAGGCAGCUAUCUGGCCAUUUACUGACACUGAGGCUCGAAAGCAUGGGGAUCAAACAGGAUUAGAUACCCCAGUAGUC